GACCGCGGGGGUGGAAAAGGCCGCUCGCCCGAGAUUGCGCGCGGAAGUAGACCUCCUUUCUCGCGAUGGGGUAGCGGUGCUGGAAUCCCCCAGAACUAGUUUGACUCUUUUCAUCGACAAUAAUCUGGUGCCCAACAUUGGGCCUCAGAGAAGACUCAGGACCCUGAAGGAGUUGCCCAAAACUGGAGCUAAGGUACCAGCAGGAGCCCAUUGAAGCCUCAUUGAAUUCAAGCUUCUCCUUCGGUGGAACUGAUUAUGAAAAGAGAAAAGGAGAAUGGCUAUGCCCUCAAACCACUUGGAACCCUGAUUUUUCCUAAACUUGGCCUCUAAUAUCCACCCCCAUGGAACAUAGCAUCUGGAUAAAAUGAGAAGAUGGCAAUCUGCAAACCAAGAAGCAGACCCUCAUCAGACACUGGCACCUUGAUUUUGGACUUCCCAGCCUCCAGAA
Molecule: long non-coding RNA, 448 nt
Organism: Pongo pygmaeus (Bornean orangutan)
Lineage: Eukaryota; Metazoa; Chordata; Mammalia; Primates; Hominidae
Exons: 4
Source: RefSeq, a predicted model, not a curated record